GCCGGGUGUGGUGGUGGGCGCCUGUAAUCCCAGCUACUUGGGAGGCUGAGGCAGGAGAAUCACUUGAACCUGGGAGGCAGAGGUUGCAGUGGGUCGAGAUCAUGCCACUGCAUUCCAUCCUGGGCGACAGAGUGAGACUCUGUCUCAA
Molecule: non-coding RNA, 148 nt
Filed under: Chlorocebus sabaeus (green monkey)
Lineage: Eukaryota; Metazoa; Chordata; Mammalia; Primates; Cercopithecidae
Source: Rfam by way of RNAcentral